Molecule: non-coding RNA, 212 nt
Filed under: Streptomyces xinghaiensis
Lineage: Bacteria; Bacillati; Actinomycetota; Actinomycetes; Kitasatosporales; Streptomycetaceae
Description: Streptomyces sRNA 4677
Rfam family: Streptomyces sRNA 4677
About the family: Located in the intergenic region between anti-sigma factor SCO4677 gene and a putative regulatory protein gene SCO4676. scr4677 expression requires the SCO4677 activity and scr4677 sRNA itself seem to affect the levels of the SCO4676-associated transcripts.
Source: Rfam by way of RNAcentral
GGGUCCGGUGGGCCGCCGGGCUCCUCAAGAACCGGGAACAGAACUACCCGCCCACCCACCCUCCCGGCCGUGUCACCCGUCCGGGUGACCGGCUUGCCGGGGCGGGAUUUGGGCCGUUACGUUCGCUGGGACAACCACAAACAGAGACGGCCCCCGGCCGGGACGGCAAUCCCGAUCGAGGGCCUGACCGAUCAGGAAGUAGCCCCUUCCCG